AGUCGAGAAUUUUUCUCAAUGGGCGAAAGCCUGAAGGAGCGACGCCGCGUGGGGGAUGAAUGGCUUCGGCCCGUAAACCCCUGUCAUUUGUGACCAAACCUUUCGAUCUAAUAAGUCGAAAAUUGAUGGUAGCGGAAGAGGAAGGGACGGCUAACUCUGUGCCAGCAGCCGCGGUAAUACAGAGGUCCCAAGCGUUGUUCGGAUUCACUGGGCGUAAAGGGUGCGUAGGUGGUCGUAUAAGUUUGAUGUGAAAUCUCCGGGCUCAACCCGGAAAAUGCAUUGAAUACUAUUCGGCUGGAGGGUUGGAGGGGGGACUGGAAUACUUGGUGUAGCAGUGAAAUGCGUAGAUAUCAAGUGGAACACCAGUGGCGAAGGCGAGUCCCUGGACAACUCCUGACACUGAGGCACGAAAGCUAGGGGAGCAAA
Molecule: ribosomal RNA, 426 nt
Filed under: uncultured Verrucomicrobiota bacterium
Lineage: Bacteria; Pseudomonadati; Verrucomicrobiota
Description: bacterial SSU rRNA
Rfam family: Bacterial small subunit ribosomal RNA
Source: RNAcentral